UCUGGUAAUGAUGGCAGAGAGGUAGAGGUCACACCCGUUCCCAUACCGAACACGGAAGUUAAGCUCUCUAGCGCCGAUGGUAGUUGGGACCUUGUCCCUGUGAGAGUAGGACGUUGCCAGGC
RNAcentral lists this ribosomal RNA (122 nucleotides) under Bacillus thuringiensis. Lineage: Bacteria; Bacillati; Bacillota; Bacilli; Caryophanales; Bacillaceae. The record is from RNAcentral.